RNAcentral lists this long non-coding RNA (2941 nucleotides) under Mus musculus (house mouse). RNAcentral's name for it is "long non-coding RNA chr3:58135540-58138481". The record is from RNAcentral. Lineage: Eukaryota; Metazoa; Chordata; Mammalia; Rodentia; Muridae.
CUUUUGGGAUAGCAUUGGAAAUGUAAAUGAAAUAAAUACCCAAUUAAAAAAUAUGAAAUGAAAAAAAAAAAGAAAGUUCCCUGUGUUUGCCUUACGUCAUACAUUUAAGCUUAGUGAAAUCUAUAAAGACUUUUUUGUAAGGGCAGUAUGUCCCCCUCCCCACCCCCCAACUUGUCAAACAUCCACUGGGCCACUGGAGAGGACACUUUCCUCUUGGGCAGGGAAGCAGCAAACUAGUCAUCAUUAUUCUAAGAAACAAUUUGAAAUUUGCUCUUCACAAAUAUAAAAGGCCUUAAUAACUAGGCCAACCUGUAACAAUCACUGCCACACGUCUUUGCAUGACAAAUGAACAAAGAUGUGAAUCCACUGUUCAAAAGCACCAGCAAACACAGAAACUCAUUACAAAAAAAAUGGGGGCUUGUCAUGUUUGGCACAAAAAGAAAAAAAGAAAAGAACCCACCAAAAUAACACCCCCUCUGCUCUGAAGUCUAAAUACCUUGUGAUCACUUGAACGAGUAACAUGGCCUAAAUGUUAAUGAAGCAAUUUGACUCACUCAGCAGGAUGAGCAACAAAAGGAAUGCUUUUCAAGACACAGCUGUCAACAAUUACAGUCAGUGGGCUGGCUGGCGCUGACUAUCAGUCAGCAUCUUAAAGCUCAGGCAAGUGUGGAGCCUAUUUGACAGGACCCCACCCCUGACUCCCGGCAAGACAGUAAACCCGCGGUUACUUGGCAGGCCAGGGAACGGAAUAUUCUGGCGAGCUGAGUACCUCCACCCAGCUCAGAAGUAAAUGACGGGGUUUUUAAUGGUUCAGAAUGAUCAAAACAAAACAAAAAAGCACUAAAGAUAGAUUCAGGCUUCACUCCAUCCUUCCUGCAUGUACUGGUUCAAAUACCAUUUCUAGGCCUUAGGAUUUCUUCUUUUUUAAAUAAAUUAAUUUUUAUGUUUAGUUUUAUGUGUGUGUGUAUUCUGCUUCGUGUAUGACUGUGCAUCACAUGUGUGCCUGGUGCCCAGAAGCCAGUAGAGGGUAUUAUAUCCUUUUAGACUGGAAUUACAGACAGUUGUGAACCUCCAUGGGUUCUGGGAAUUGAACCCAGGUCCUUUAAACGAGUAGUCAGUGCUCUUAACUGAUGAGGUAUCGCUAGCUCAUAGGUCUUAAGAUUUCAUAGUUAGAGAAUCUUCUCUUUGGAUGUGAACUUUCUGGUCCUUUUUAGAAAUAAAAGCUCCUUUAAGAAGGACGCUUCUUACCUAAACAGGUACUUCUAAAGAGUGUGUGUAUGUGUGUUCCUGAGAACACACACACACACAGAGGGGAUGGGGGUUGGGGUCAGGGGUAAAGUCUUUGCAGAAGGUACACUGUGGCCACUGACCCCAAAGAAUAAGACUUAGCUAAAGUGAAGGCACCAGAUUCUCUUUACAGGGAAAGUGGGUGACAGAAUCUGAAGACACCUCACAUCUUCCUCAGUUUCCCCUAAGAUGAGAGACAGAGAUUGGGGGUGGGGUCACGGUGAUACUCUCAGCAGCAAGGGAAGAAAGGAGCAGGGGUCAACACGAGCUGCAUAGUAAGUUCAAGGCAAGGAUGGGCUGCCUCAAGUAACUCUGUCUCAAAAUAAGCAAAUAAGCAAGCAACCCAAGGCAGUGGGUGCUGAGCAAAGAAAAGAGAAUAAACCACGCAACCCUGGCAGACACAACCAGCAUGGCCACCCGGAUUUCUAGCCUGCAGCUCCUGGCUCUUGUUUCUUCCCAUGAGACCAGAUCGCUCUCCAUGCUACUUUCUCAGAGCUCGCUGUAGACUUGCCUGUCUAUACAACCUAGCUUGGAUGGUUUGGCAGAGAGAGGGUGGUAGUUCUCUUUCCAUCUGUAUUCUCUCUUUCUUCUUCACUGACUGAUAUCCAGUUUUAUUCUCUAAGGAACAGCUAAAAUAAAAGUCAUGACCCCCAACCCCUUCUUGUAAUUAAAGUUGAUGGCAAGUAAUUUGUUGGGACUUCGAAGUCUCUUCAAGAAGGCAGACUCUCAUUUUCUUCUCACUGUGUGGAAAGCAGGUACGAUUGCUGGCUUUCCAACAACCACUUGUGGUCACACUAUAGCAUCAAGGUUAGAAUCUAGUGCUAAGCUUGGUGCAAUAGAGACAGAGAAGGAGCCUUGGGCUUCCUACCAAGCCCCGGUGCAUGCAUGCCACUACACAGGUUCUAAACACUUUCUAUUCAGCCCAGAGUUCCUUGAUUAGGGAAUGGUCUGGACCACAAUUAAUAUGGAUCUUCCCAUAUUACUAACUUAAUCAAGAUAACCCCUCACAGACAUUCUCAGAAGAUAUAAGCUUAAUAUGGAAAAUCUUUCAAAGGUGUGCCUGGGUGCCUCCUAAGAGUUAAGAUGGAACUAAUCAUCACAGAGCACAGUUGGAAGAAUUAAUAUUAGAUAUUUUUUUAAUUGUUAAUUUUUGUCUUUGAUAGAGAUUCCAUUGCUGUGAAGAGAUACCAUGACCAAGGCAACUCUUAUAAAGGAAAGCAUUUAACUGGAGCUGGCUUACAGUUUCAGAGGUUCAGUCCAUUAUCUUCAUGGGGGGAAGCAUGGCAGCAUGCAGGUAGACAUGGUGUUGGAGGAGCUGAGAGUUCUACAUCUUGGUCCAAAGGAGGAGGCUGGAAUUCUAUAGUAGGCUGAUCUUAUCUUCAAAGGCCACCUACACAGUGACAUAACUCCUCGAACAAGGCCACUUGUAAUGCCAUUCCUUGUGGGCCAAGCACUUAAACACUUUGAGUCUGUGGGGGCCAUUUCUAUUCAAACCACUGCAGUUUUCUUAAGACUAAUGAUAGCAUUUGGAUGCUUAUUCUUUUGGGGAUAUAUUUGCUUAAAUAUUAAGACGUGAAGUAUUAUGUUUACCUCUUGCUCUAAAAUCAAGAAUAGAUACAUAGACAGACAGACACAGACAUUUUCAUGCAUACGU